CUUUAUUAUAACAAGACA
Molecule: small nuclear RNA, 18 nt
Filed under: Arabidopsis thaliana (thale cress)
Lineage: Eukaryota; Viridiplantae; Streptophyta; Magnoliopsida; Brassicales; Brassicaceae
Description: snRNA_17999
Source: RNAcentral